GCUCUCCUGUGGCUUAGUUGGCAGAGCAUUGCACUAACAAUGCAAAGGUGGUGGGUUCAAAUCCCAAGUAAUGCA
RNAcentral lists this transfer RNA (75 nucleotides) under Danionella cerebrum. RNAcentral's name for it is "tRNA-Val". The stretch from base 10 to 67 matches the Rfam family "tRNA", at positions 8 to 63 of the family's 71-position model. Rfam says of the family: Transfer RNA (tRNA) molecules are approximately 80 nucleotides in length. Their secondary structure includes four short double-helical elements and three loops (D, anti-codon, and T loops). The record is from RNAcentral. Lineage: Eukaryota; Metazoa; Chordata; Actinopteri; Cypriniformes; Danionidae.